RNAcentral lists this ribosomal RNA (253 nucleotides) under uncultured bacterium. RNAcentral's name for it is "partial 16S ribosomal RNA". It matches the Rfam family "Bacterial small subunit ribosomal RNA", at positions 524 to 776 of the family's 1533-position model. The record is from RNAcentral.
UACGGAGGGUGCAAGCGUUAAUCGGAAUUACUGGGCGUAAAGCGUGCGCAGGCGGUUUGUUAAGUCUGCUGUGAAAUCCCCGAGCUCAACUUGGGAAUUGCAGUCGAUACGGGCAGGCUAGAGUUCGGCAGGGGAGACUGGAAUUCCUGGUGUAGCGGUGAAAUGCGCAGAUAUCAGGAGGAACACCGGUGGCGAAGGCGGGUCUCUGGGCCGAUACUGACACUGAGGAGCGAAAGCGUGGGGAGCGAACAGG